Molecule: non-coding RNA, 313 nt
Organism: Cinara cedri
Lineage: Eukaryota; Metazoa; Arthropoda; Insecta; Hemiptera; Aphididae
Source: the annotation of a GenBank genome assembly
AUUCUGAGCAGAACGUAAGAAACGUGAGAAAUGUAUUGGUUUUACAAUGAUGUUUACUGGUUUUAUUUUUUGUGUACAAUUUUUCUACCACCAAUUUUGCUCUGCCACUUAAACAAUACAUGAAAUAAAGAUAAAAACAGGCAAAGGAAUUAUACAAAGAGAACUUCCUAAACGAGAUACUACAGGAAGCUGAAAAAGACCAUUCGCCAGGUAGUAUACAGAAUUUCUUCAAAAUCAUUACCAUGUUAUGGCCUAUACAUGUAACAUAAUCUAAUUUUAACUCUUUGUAUUCACGACAGUAGUGAAAAUAGUG